UGCAGAAUCCCGUGAACCAUCGAGUCUUUGAACGCAAGUUGCGCCCGAUGCCAUUAGGUUGAGGGCACGUCUGCCUGGGUGUCACAUAUCGAAGCCUCCUGCCAAUUUCCCUUUGAUUAUUGUGCAGGGUGGACGUUGGCCUCCCGUGAACUCUUUUUGGUCAUGGUUGGUUGAAAAUUGAGACCUUGGUAGGGUGUGCCAUGAUAGAUGGUGGUUGUGUGAUCCACGAGACCAAUCAUGUGCUGCUCUAUUAAAUAUGGCCUCUUUUACCCAUAUGCGUUUCUAAACGCUCGUGAUGAGACCUCAGGUCAGGCGGGGCUACCCGCUGAAUUUAAGCAUAUCAAUAAGCGGAGGAAAAGAAACUAACAAGGAUUCCCUUAGUAACGGCGAGCGAACCGGGAUAAGCCCACCAUGAGAAUCGGUCGCCCUCGGCGUUCGA
Molecule: ribosomal RNA, 439 nt
Filed under: Vicia sepium
Lineage: Eukaryota; Viridiplantae; Streptophyta; Magnoliopsida; Fabales; Fabaceae
Description: eukaryotic LSU rRNA
Rfam family: Eukaryotic large subunit ribosomal RNA (bases 299-439)
Source: RNAcentral